AGGAGCAUUUUCUUUGUCCUGUUGACUGUUUGGACAAAUGUUUACAACCAAGAUGGUUGCUAAAUGUCUGAAUUCUGCUGAGGAGACUUUCUUCAUUUCCACAGAAGGAAGUGGUUUGGAUACAUUUUUCUCCCUCUCUUAUUUCCAAAUUAAUUUAAAACAAGCUGCAUAAAAAUUAUGACAUAAUUUUCUGGACUGCAGAAUCAAUGAGUUGCUCUCCUGAGAUGGUGAGUACCAACUAAGUCACCUGUGGUCUCUUUUGAGUAGUGAUGGGAAAAAUACUGA
RNAcentral lists this long non-coding RNA (285 nucleotides) under Bos indicus x Bos taurus (hybrid cattle). RNAcentral describes it as "lncRNA (ENSBIXG00005003060.1)". Lineage: Eukaryota; Metazoa; Chordata; Mammalia; Artiodactyla; Bovidae. The record is from RNAcentral.